CAAAGUUAUCCGAUCUUCAGUAAAUAUAUAACAUUGUAAUUUCGUAAAAUAAGUUAAAAAAAACAUGAAAUUAAUUAAUUUAAUUAUUGUAAUCGUUUGCAUAAUUAUCGGUUCAAAGGAAGUUCAGGGGAAUAAUGGAAAACAUGUGAUAUUCACCACAUUUCCGAAUUGCUGUAAAUAAGUAGUGAAUGAGAGACUGGAUAAAAGAUCAUAUGUACCCUAAAGUUGUGUUUAUUUAUAUUAAAUUAAAUUCAAAUAGGGAGGAUUUAUGAUCUUUCUUUGUUGAAUAAUUAAAAUUAUAAUUUUGCAAUUAAACAAAUGAGAUGUACAUAUA
Molecule: long non-coding RNA, 334 nt
Organism: Lucilia sericata (common green bottle fly)
Lineage: Eukaryota; Metazoa; Arthropoda; Insecta; Diptera; Calliphoridae
Exons: 2
Source: RefSeq, a predicted model, not a curated record